GACGAACGCUGGCGGCGUGCCUAAUACAUGCAAGUAGAACGCUGAAGGAGGAGCUUGCUUCUCUGGAUGAGUUGCGAACGGGUGAGUAACGCGUAGGUAACCUGCCUGGUAGCGGGGGAUAACUAUUGGAAACGAUAGCUAAUACCGCAUAAGAGUAGAUGUCGCAUGACAUUUGCUUAAAAGGUGCAAUUGCAUCACUACCAGAUGGACCUGCGUUGUAUUAGCUAGUUGGUGAGGUAACGGCUCACCAAGGCAACGAUACAUAGCCGACCUGAGAGGGUGAUCGGCCACACUGGGACUGAGACACGGCCCAGACGCCUACGGGAGGCAGCAGUAGGGAAUCUUCGGCAAUGGACGGAAAUCUGACCGAGCAACGCCGCGUGAGUGAAGAAGGUUUUCGGAUCGUAAAGCUCUGUUGUAAGAGAAGAACGAGUGUGAGAGUGGAAAGUUCACACUGUAACGGUAUCUUACCAGAAAGGGACGGCUAACUACGUG
This 495-nucleotide ribosomal RNA is filed under the name uncultured bacterium. RNAcentral describes it as "partial 16S ribosomal RNA". It matches the Rfam family "Bacterial small subunit ribosomal RNA", at positions 28 to 507 of the family's 1533-position model. The record is from RNAcentral.